UCACGGAGCGGAGACGGCAAAUGGCGGACUUCGAUACCUACGAUCAUCGGGCCUGCAGCAGCUUCGGCGGCGGCAGAGGGUCCCGCGGCAGUGCUGGUGGCCAUGGUGCCCGUAGCCAGAAGGAAGUGCCCACAGAGCCCCCCACCCCCAACAGCAUAUGUAGGAAAUCUACCCUUUAAUACGGUUCAGGGCGACAUAGAUGCUAUCUUUAAGGAUCUCAGCAUAAGGAAUGUACUACGGCUAGUCAGAGACAAAGACACAGAGAAAUUUAAAGGAUUCUGCUAUGUAGAAUUUGAUGAGGUGGAUUCCCUUAAGGAAGCUUUGACUUAUGAUGGUGCACUCUUGGGUGAUAGGUCACUUCAUGUGGACAUUGCAGAAGGCAGAAAACAGGGUAAAGAUGGCUUUGGAUUCAGGAAAGGUGGACCAGAUGACAGAGGAGUGGGUGGCUCUCGAGAAUCUAGAGGUGGAUGGGAUUCCCGGGAUGACUUCAAUUCCAGCUUCAGGGAGGAAGUCGCCCAGGUGACCGGCGAACCGGUCCCCCAGUGGGGAGUCGUUUCAGAGAUGGUCCUCCCCUUCGAGGGUCCAACAUGGAUUUCAGAGAACCAGCAGAAGAGGAAAGAGCACAGAGACCAUGGCUCCAGCUUAAACCUCGGACAGUUGCAACACCCCUCAAUCAAGUAGCCAACCCCAACUCUGCUAUCUCCGGGGGAGCCAGACCCAGAGAGGAAGUCUUUCACAAGGAGCAAGAAUGA
RNA transcript from Condylura cristata (star-nosed mole), 752 nucleotides. It is a transcript of the gene named eukaryotic translation initiation factor 4H pseudogene, with no coding region annotated. The record is from RefSeq and is a predicted model, not a curated record. Lineage: Eukaryota; Metazoa; Chordata; Mammalia; Eulipotyphla; Talpidae. The transcript has a single exon.